Molecule: long non-coding RNA, 309 nt
Filed under: Lathyrus oleraceus (garden pea)
Lineage: Eukaryota; Viridiplantae; Streptophyta; Magnoliopsida; Fabales; Fabaceae
Description: Pisum sativum (pea) long non-coding RNA (PSAT_LNC038596)
Source: RNAcentral
GAAAGGACCCUUGAGACCCCUCAAGGUUUUGUACCACAAGGAAGAUGUCAGGGAUGUGGCUAGUGAGCUAUCAUUGUUUCCUGGUAAGAGCAUGGAGAUACCGCCUUGGAUUUCCAAUGUCACGACCUAUACCAAUGAAAGGAAAGGAGAAGUGAGUAGUGGAUCCAAGAGGGCUGCGUUCGACGAUGAGAUUGAAAUAAAAGAAUUUGAAGAUCAUCAUGUCAAAAAGGUGGUUGAUCCCAAUCUUCAAGUUUGAAGAAAUCAAUUCCCUAAAGCUGGCAAUCAUUUGGUUGUUUCAACACUUCUUUU